This 1060-nucleotide unclassified non-coding RNA is filed under the name Hevea brasiliensis (rubber tree). Lineage: Eukaryota; Viridiplantae; Streptophyta; Magnoliopsida; Malpighiales; Euphorbiaceae. The record is from RNAcentral.
AUCACCAUCACCAUCACCAUCAUCGUUGGUUAAGAGAAGUCCAUCUUUUCUUUGAUUCGACUGGUAACGGUCGAAGCACCCAACGGCUACAGACUCGCUAUUACUCUUCUUUCUCAAACUACCAAUGUCCAACGACCUCCUAGCAAACGACGUCGGACCAUUACUACUAUGAUUGUGGGAGCCAGAGGGAACGCGCUCGGACCCCGCAGUUGGUCUCUGCACCACAAUUUGAGGAAGGAAACCACUUGCCUUCUCGCCAGCGGAAGAGUGCCUACCCGAAAUUCUCCGACAUAUCUCAGAUUGGGUCUCUGCUUUCCUGCUCUCCACAUCCAACGACUCCGGAUCUUCUGGCGGUGGCCGUAAGUGGUUGCCAUGGAGGAUAUUGCUGGAGGCGUGGUCGAUCAAGAGAAUAUCUUCUGGGUCGACUCGGUAGCGGCAGAGAGGGCAGGUACAAUGGGCGUCGAGCCAAGUAUCAACGCAUUCGACAUGAAAAGCGUGCUUGCAUUUAGGAAGCAAUCUGAGAACCUCUGGGGGCUCGAACCUGGUCAAGCAAACAGCGCAUUCGAGGCCAUCCUUUUGGCCUCUGAGUGAGCUGAAUCGGAAUAUGGGUAGCGACUCAAUGACGGCCCGGUCAAUCCCUGAGUUCUUUCUGGCUGUAGAAGGUGCGUAUCCUGUCCGGCUGAUGGAAUCAGAGUGAAAACCAUUGUAAACGACGACGUUGCCACGCUUGCAGUGUUUGGUGUAGAGAAGCAGAAGCAAGGUAAUAGAAAACAUGGUGGUUAAGACGCCGACAACAACGGCAAUGCUGGGCUUGAAAGGUGAAGAGGAAUUAAGAAAAUCUGGAAAUGGGGGAGGGGACGGUGGACUGGAGAAGGAAGUGGUCAUAAAGGGAGCAUCAGGAGGAGGCGUUAUUCUUGAAUCAACGUCGGCAAAUAAAAGAGGAAAGAGAGAAAUUAAGUAGAGGAGGAAGAUAGAGGCGAAGAAGAAAGCGUUAUUGAAUUUGCAGAGAAGAAGCAUGCUAUGCGUGAUGCGAAAGAUCGAAAAUUUGGAAGGAAAAACA